This 493-nucleotide ribosomal RNA is filed under the name uncultured bacterium. RNAcentral's name for it is "partial 16S ribosomal RNA". It matches the Rfam family "Bacterial small subunit ribosomal RNA", at positions 29 to 508 of the family's 1533-position model. The record is from RNAcentral.
AGUGAACGCUGGCGGUAGGCCUAACACAUGCAAGUCGAACGGCAGCACAGUAAGAGCUUGCUCUUACGGGUGGCGAGUGGCGGACGGGUGAGGAAUACAUCGGAAUCUACUUUUUCGUGGGGGAUAACGUAGGGAAACUUACGCUAAUACCGCAUACGACCUACGGGUGAAAGCAGGGGAUCUUCGGACCUUGCGCGAUUGAAUGAGCCGAUGUCGGAUUAGCUAGUUGGCGGGGUAAAGGCCCACCAAGGCGACGAUCCGUAGCUGGUCUGAGAGGAUGAUCAGCACCACUGGAACUUAGACACGGUCCAGACUCCUACGGGAGGCAGCAGUGGGGAAUAUUGGACAAUGGGCGCAAGCCUGAUCCAGCCAUACCGCGUGGGUGAGGAAGGCCUUCGGGUUGUAAAGCCCUUUUGUUGGGAAAGAAAAGCAGCAGGUUAAUACCCCGCUGUUCUGACGGUACCCAAAGAAUAAGCACCGGCUAACUUCGUGC